UUGUGGUGUAUGUGUUGAUUGUGUAUGCAUAGCUUGAUGGAUGCGCCUUCGAACCUUCAAGUGGGCUAACUUUUACAUAUUUUCUUAAAAAUGUAUUUUUUUGGAGGUUUCAAGAAAUAAAAAUAAAAAGGAGGACUGGUAGGAAAAGGGGGGGAGCGUUUUUGAGAGGGAAGAGAGAAGACCAGAGAGAGAGAAACUCACCCAUCUUCAUUCUUCUUCUCCUUCAAUUAUUUUUCUUUGUUCCUUCUUUAGAAUCAAAAGUUCUUUUGACCCAAUUGUUUUUCUUCUUCAAAUUUGGGUUUUUUCCUCUUUCUCGGACCAAACCCUAGAACAGUGAGCAAUGAAGAUUGAAGGCUUAGUUUUUUUUUUUAUUUUUUGUGCGAGGGAGAGCACCAAAUGUUGAAUCCGAGUAAGAUCGGUGGUUAGUGUGAGGCACUAAGAGAAUCAGUUUGCGAGUCAAAGAGAGAACACAGGACUGGGAGAGCAAGAUACAUAAUGUUCGAACCAAGGGUUACCGUAAAGAGGAGGAACAGGGAUUUGCGGAGAUGGAUUUGCUGGUGAUUCUGGUGUUCAUAGAGGUAAUGAAGGAAUGUGAUUGCGAGAUUAGCUUCUCUUGCUAUCGUCCUUGGGACGAGGAAAUUUGUAGGUGAGAAAUGGUAUUUUACAAUAUUGUCCUUAAUUUUUCAUCACUUGCAGUGAAAGAGAGAGAGAGAGUGUGCUAUUUGAAACUUCAAUGGCAAAUGAAAUGAUUCGGGGAUGUUGGAAUUGGUUUUUGGGAUUAGCUCUUCAAGUGGAAAACACUACAUGGAAUUAAUUCCAUUAAUAUAUACAUAAGUAUAUCACCUAUGAG
Molecule: small RNA, 850 nt
Filed under: Vigna angularis var. angularis
Lineage: Eukaryota; Viridiplantae; Streptophyta; Magnoliopsida; Fabales; Fabaceae
Description: Non-protein coding transcript
Source: RNAcentral